CCUCACAAGUUUUUCAUCUCCAUAUGGGUUAUAAAAUAUAGUGCAUCUUUUAUCUAGAAGAUCCAAAAAGUUGUAAUGAAUAAAUAUAGAAAAUUCAAGAAGUCAGCACUGAAACUUUGUGAGUCGGAAGUUAUCUGAGCUUAAAGUAC
Molecule: long non-coding RNA, 149 nt
Organism: Oxyura jamaicensis (ruddy duck)
Lineage: Eukaryota; Metazoa; Chordata; Aves; Anseriformes; Anatidae
Exons: 3
Source: RefSeq, a predicted model, not a curated record